GGGACACGUGAAACCCUGUGGGAAGCAGGAGGGACCACCCUCCAAGGCUAAAUACUACCUAGUGACCGAUAGCGUAUAGUACCGUGAGGGAAAGGUGAAAAGAACCCCGGGAGGGGAGUGAAAUAGAACCUGAAACCCUGCACUUACAAGCUGUGGAAGCACAUUUCUUGUGUGACCGCGUACUUUUUGUAGAACGGGCCAACGAGUUACGUUAAGUAGCAAGGUUAAGCACUUAAGGUGCGGAGCCGUAGCGAAAGCGAGUUUUAACUGAGCGUUCAGUUACUUGACGUAGACCCGAAACCGGGCGACCUACCCAUGAGCAGGAUGAAGCGAAAGUAAAAUUUCGUGGAGGUCCGAACCCACGAGCGUUGAAAAGCUCGGGGAUGACUUGUGGGUAGCGGUGAAAUUCCAAUCGAGCCCGGAGAUAGCUGGUUCUCCCCGAAAUAGCUUUAGGGCUAGCCUCAAGGUGAGAGAUACGGAGGUAGAGCACUGAAUGUCCUAGGGGGUAUUGCACCUACCGAAGACUAUCAAACUCCGAAUGCCGUCAUCUUAUACUUGGGAGUCAGACUGUGGGUGAUAAGAUUCAUAGUCGAAAGGGCAACAGCCCAGAUCGUCAGCUAAGGUCCCUAAAUGUAAGUUAAGUGGUAAAGGAUGUGGGAUUGCACAGACAACCAGGAUGUUGGCUUAGAAGCAGCCACUCAUUCAAAGAGUGCGUAAUAGCUCACUGGUCGAGUGAUCCUGCGCCGAAGAUUUCCGGGGCUAAAACUUACUACCGAAGCUACGGCAUCAGUAAUGAUGGGUAGGGGAGCUUCCCAUACGGGUUGAAGCAUGACCGUAAGGACAUGUGGACAGUAUGGGAGUGAGAAUGUUGGCAUGAGUAGCGAGAUGUGGGUGAGAAUCCCACAGGCCGUAAACCCAAGGUUUCCAGGGGAAGGUUCGUCCGCCCUGGGUUAGUCGGGACCUAAGCUGAGGCCGAAAGGCGUAGGUGAUGGACAACAGGUUGAUAUUCCUGUACUACCGAUAACCGUUUGAGAGAAGGGAUGACACAGUAGGAUAAGCUAAGCACACUGUUGGUUAUGUGUGCCCAAGCAUUGAGGCAGUCAAAGUAGGCAAAUCCGCUUUGAUAAUGCUGGGAUGUGAUGGGGAGCGAAAUUUAGUAGCGAAGUAGCUGAUUUCACACUGUCAAGAAAAGUCUCUAUCGAGGUUAAAGGUACCCGUACCGCAAACCGACACAGGUGGGUGAGGAGAGUAUCCUAAGGCCAGCGAGAGAACUGUUGUUAAGGAACUCGGCAAAAUGACCCCGUAACUUAGGGAUAAGGGGUGCCACCAUCAGGUGGCCGCAGAGAAUAGGCCCAAGCGACUGUUUACCAAAAACAUAGGUUUCUGCUAAGUCGCAAGACGAUGUAUAGGAGCUGACGCCUGCCCGGUGCUGGAAGGUUAAGGGGAUCUGUUAGAGCAAUCGAAGCAGUGAACUUAAGCCCCAGUAAACGGCGGCCGUAACUAUAACGGUCCUAAGGUAGCGAAAUUCCUUGUCGGGUAAGUUCCGACCCGCACGAAAGGCGUAACGAUUUGGGCACUGUCUCAACAACAGACUCGGUGAAAUUGUAAUUCCGGUGAAGAUGCCGGAUACCUGCGACAGGACGGAAAGACCCCAUGGAGCUUUACUGUAGCUUGACAUUGGGUCUUGGUACUACAUGUACAGGAUAGGUGGGAGGCUUUGAAACCAGGACGCCAGUUUUGGCGGAGCCAUCCUUGGGAUACCACCCUUGUAGUACUGGGACUCUAACCAUAGGCCAUGAAUCUGGUCUUGGGACACUGUCAGGUGGGCAGUUUGACUGGGGCGGUCGCCUCCCAAAAGGUAACG
This 1864-nucleotide ribosomal RNA is filed under the name Clostridioides difficile. RNAcentral describes it as "partial 23S ribosomal RNA". It matches the Rfam family "Bacterial large subunit ribosomal RNA", at positions 419 to 2302 of the family's 2925-position model. Lineage: Bacteria; Bacillati; Bacillota; Clostridia; Peptostreptococcales; Peptostreptococcaceae. The record is from RNAcentral.